GUUUUUUCUUUCUGUUGAUAUCAUAAACACGAAAUGCCUUCUCCUACGCGUCUAAAACAAAAAAAAAAAAACAAAAACAGUGUUUUUAAGUCAGGCUGCACACAGAACAACGUACAGAAUGCUGUGAUUUCUAAUUGGAGUUAUUUAGAUAAUUUCUAUGAGGUUUAAGACAGCACAGGCGUGCUUGUUGGAUUCAUUAUAGACCGCAGAAAGUAGUUUCUCUUUCG
RNAcentral lists this long non-coding RNA (227 nucleotides) under Mytilus galloprovincialis (Mediterranean mussel). Lineage: Eukaryota; Metazoa; Mollusca; Bivalvia; Mytilida; Mytilidae. The record is from RNAcentral.